CCCCCACCCGAAUCUGUCGACGACAGCAGCAAUUUGUCUUCACACUACAGCGACGACGAGGAAUGCAACCCGUCAAAGCUCGGAGGCGAUGUGUGAACUCUCCCCGGAAGGUGUGCAAGAAUAAACGACCAGUGUGUGCUGCGGUAAUAAAGAUGUGGGGGGACCACUUCUGGAUGGGAAAUGAGCUAUAAUUGAGAAGCAGGGAGAAAAUCCCCCAAAAAUACAUCAAACAACAAAAAAAAAAUCCAUUUAGACUCCUACUCGCCCUCGAAUACGUCGCGAGGAUGCUGCGAAGGUGUUUGCAGUGUAGGCGAGAGCCAAUCGGAUCAGAGCUUCACCACGUUUCUAACUGUGGUAGAUAAAAACGAUUUCGUUAAAGAAGCCCGCAGCUGAUGUGGAUCGUGGAUGUGGAAGAUCACGUUGAGUUAAUCAGUUUGUCAUUUUGAAAAAGGUCCCGUGGCCUUUCUGUGCGUAGCUAUUCACGGCAUCCAUGUCCCCAGAUGUGGGGUCUUUAAAAGCCCUUUCAGUCAUGUAUUUGGAAAACGAGCCUGGGGAACAUUUAAGCAACUUUUUAGGCGGAUUUGAGCUGUGGGCUCAGCUGUGUUCAGCGAGCAGGAGAGAAUUUCACAUUCAGUCGGCAAAUAUAAAAACAACAUGGUUAACAUGUUUUUGUAUUUACCAUAUUAUGAAGUGAGAUUUACUGUUAUUUUUAUACUCAAUGCACUGACAAGCUUAAAACCCGAUCACCGGGCGUUAUGUGCUGGGUGCACAGAACCUAAAACUAAAGACCUUCUGGUUUUAAAGUGCACCCCUCUGUAUUUCAGCUUUGUUUUCUCUUGGAUUCAAUCAACCGUGCUCGCCAUUUUAGACUAGAUGGGUGUAAUGGGGUAAUUUGAAAAGAGUUUGGGUUAAUCCGAUGGACACAAUCGCAUUUAGACCCUGAUGCAGUCAUUCUUGUUAGCCCACACAGCUGAAAAUAAAAAUAAAUCCAUUAGAAGAUAUUGGGUUUUCAAAUGGGCCGAUGUAAUGGUUUGGCUGAAGGCGCUGUUGUGGCGGAUGUUACGUGUGGUCAUUCUGGGCCGUGUUGUCUUUUCCAAACCACCUUAUUUUAACGGCUAAAAUGCCGUCCAGGAUGAAGGGUCUUGUUUCCAACACGCACGGCUAAUAUUGCAUCGUCCCUGCCCCUCGGGGCCACUAAUGACAUCCGGAUGGACCAGCUCGGACCGCAGGGGUGCGGUAACAUCCCAGUGAUCCACCGACCCUCACGUGCAGGCCAAAAGAACACACGAAGCACGCGUGUGUCAAAUCCCCCCCACGUUCGGAUCUAAGCGGGAACCCCCGUUCAAUCCCUAACUGCUCGGUGAUGAUGAGUCCUGACUGGGCUCAUAACCCCUGCGAGCACCUGCUGCAAUAACAGGACUAUUACCAUUACCAACACCGUCAGCCUAAUGGCUUCAGCGCUACGUGGUUAUAAAAUUGCCUCCAAAUGCACCGAUGAAUGCGGCUUGAGGUCACAGCUCGCUCACGCAAAGUCCGCAGUACGCGGCCGUCGCGCGGCGAGCCGGGGAGGAGCUCAGUGGACAGAGAUGAUUAAAGCCCUGGGGCCUCAUUACAGAAGAAAAAAACACCCUAAAUGAUUUUCUCAUCUUAACUUAAGUUCCAAAGAUAAGAGGAAGUGUAUGCCUUAUCCUACCUCAGAACUCCUAUCCUAAGAUGUCCUCACUAUAACUGCAAAUGUAAUCCUUUAAUUAGCACUUGUCCUCUCGUGUCCAUGUUGACGAUAUACUAGUGGGCUCUCAAUUAUCUCUGUGCUUAUGAGAAUGUUACCGUCUCUCAAUCCAAUCAUACGGUGAUGAGAUCACACAAGAUAUUGCGAGGCACAAUUGUGUUAUUAAGUUAUAAUAACAAGCAGAAACCAGAGCAAAUUUCUUCGACCACAAUUCAUGAUAAUUCUGCUAGUUGGAUUACCCAAAUGCAUUGGAAUCAAACAACUGUCUUCAUCUCAUUGCUCUGAAUGUGUGCGCAUGGAAACGCAUUUAUUCAGAAAUGUCACUAGUGAAUAUUCAUUUUGCACUGAAGGUCUAAUCCAAAUAAGAACAUGUGACUGAACACUUCAGACUAUAUCACCCAGACCUAGUCAGAGGCACCACUGGUGUCAUUUGGAGAGGAAUUCAAGCUUUUUCGGCAGUUAUCUUCUCGAUAGCCCCUCUCCAUAGCAGGCGGAUCAAAUUCAAAAUGAAUCCUAUUGGAAAAAGGUAAAGUGUCAUCAUUCUGUUUAAGGUGCAUUUUAAAAGCGGUGUUUUAGUGUUCGGGUUGUUCCCCCUUUUCAUUUCCAUUGCCAUACAGACCGACCAGCAGUGCUGCUGCCAUUUUUGGAAAUUACUUUCAAUUCGGUGCCACCCUAGUGGAGGAUUCCGCACUUGGAGUAUCCUUAAAUCAGUUAACAGCUAAACUCCUAUCUUAAAAACAACCACAGGAUUUUUCUGCAUGUUUCCGUAAAACAGAAUGUCGCCCGCAAACCGAGCUAUGGAAUUCCAGAUCAUUUGAGAAAACAGCCGCGUAAGGCCGCACAACAGUGAGAGCGUUUUGUUCCUCAGGUGGCCCGCCGCUCCGUGUCAUCCCACCUUGUUAGAGACUCAUCACCGAGUCCCCCAGACGGUUGGCCCAGACGUAUUGGGUGGCAUCUCCUAACUGCACAGUUAACUCACUCCGCACAGGUCCAAUUACAGGUGAAUCUAAUCCUAGAUUAGACAAUAUGCAACUAGUCUUUGUUUACAAGGCUCAGGCAAAAAGUGAUACUGAUCUGGAAAGAUUCAAUUUGAAAGCCCCAGACGGGACCGCCCUGCCUCACCGCUCCGAUCGACAGCAUUCGCUUUGCAUUCACUUUGAGGAAAUUGGAAUAUCAUUGACUUGCUGGAAAGCGGCAGAGAAGAGAGAAAUAGGUGCGAUGCACUUUUUCUACUUCACUGACCCUGUGCUUGGCAAUAAGGAGAUGUAACUGAUGCGUUAAAGCGGCUUGGUUUGACUUGUGAAAUCUAGUAGGUCCACCGCGCUGAUCUGUUUUGGCAUUUUUUUUGCCAUUUCCUGGCCCGAAUGUCACAUUAUGACAGCGACAAAAGAUGCUUCUUCGGUAAGAACUGUUUUGCUCACAUCUGGACACAUUAACUCUGGGAGCUGACGGUCUGCUUGCCUGCUGAUCUGUGCAUCAUUUGCUCUCAGGGCAUUAUAAUGUGAAAAAAAAACAUCCCAUAACAAUGGCAGGUGUCCACGGCAGCAUUGCUGUCCAAUGCGUUUAGCAGGAAAACCACACUUUGUAUCGAGAAAAAAAGAGAUUACGUUUUCAAAUGCCGACAUUUGUUAAUGUUAAUGUGGUUCACAACACAGGAAAUGCAAGAAACAUUUUAAGGGAGGUUCCUAUCAGCACUGGAUUUAAAAAUAUACAUAUUCAUGGUCAUGAUUGGUAUGUGAUUUAAAAGACAGAAUAACCAUUUAUUAAACAAAGCAGAAACGUUCCCUGUUUUCCAUCCGUCAGUAAAUUGAAUGUCACCGUUACUUCUUUUCUUUUGCCACAGUGUUGUCCGUCAAUAUGAUCUUCCCUGUGCCUCCCUUUUCAUUCCUGUGCAAUAAAGGGCACUCGAACAUCCUCAAAGCAUAUACACAGGCGUGUUUACUCCGCACACAAGGUCACACCAAGCGCACGCACAAAGACACAACUGUCCCACUCUUAUGCACUCUGUCCACGCCCGAUCAAUAAAAUAAAUAGAAAAGGGAUCCUUGUAAAUCUACUAGCAAAACAAUUUAUAUUUUCUUUUUGUGCACACGCCAAAGCAACAAAAGGAAAAUAGGCAGUGGACAAUUCAAAAAGGGGGCUUUUAUAUCAUCGGGACCUGAAGCACGUGCGUGCUCACCUCUGUCCCAUACGAAGAGGCUUCCCUUCCCGAAUAUUUGGAGAAGCCUGUCUGCUCUCAAUCCCUCCGACGAGAACCCGACACCAUGUAUCCCUCCACACUCCUGGCAUUUGUAACAUUUCAUCACAACCUUGGCAGGUUGUUUGGCACGAGCCUCGCCCUCCACCUCGCCAUCAUACCUCUCUCGACACUGUGAGCGCACACACACACACACACACACACACAGCACUAAUGCAGCAGCAGUGUCAUCUGGCCCUUUGAGCAUGACUUCACUCAAGGCUCUUUAGCGGCGGCCAGCCGAAGGGGCCACCGGGGAAAGAAUGUGUGCUGUCACGCACGUCUGAAAAUCUUUGAUCGCAUCCAUAUGUGUUUAAACAUUCAUACGCGGCCAUUAGCUUGUGGUAAGUUGGCCUUUAAAAGGAAAACACAUGGGCAGGGCAGGGGAUUCUCCGCCCGCUGCUUUGAGCGUGCCGCGGUACAUUUUCCAGGGACCAUCGAAUUAGAUUAGAUCCCGACAGUAUUGAUGGUUGAAAGUCCAGCCUGUCAAGAAGUAAGAAGUGCAUGUUUAUUUAUGUAUGCGGGCGGACCGUCCUCCUUCCUUCAGGAAGACAGACUUUGUACUUUCCCCUGCGACAGACAUUAGUGUAUAGUGCACUCUAAUGGCUUAUAUAGAUGGGAAUACCCACAGCUGAUAAUGGUCCGCCAUUUCCCCCCCGUCUCCUGAAGGGCAGUGCCGAUCUGCGACCUGCUCCAUUCCUUGGAUUUGAUUGACAGGCUGUCAGACAGCUGACGUGACACGUCAUUUAUUGGUUAUUUGCACUUUUCCGAUCAUUAUGUAUUAUCUGAAAAAAACAUUUGAUUCAUGGUGACAGAAGAGGAAGAUCCCAAGCUGAUAUUUGAUUUACGGUUGCUGUUUUAUAUGUUUUUGUCAAUAUAAUACCUGUUUAAAUUAAGAUGUCAACACUGAUAGUAGUGCUCGCUGAUGCCACUAAGCCACUGCUCCGUUCUGGGGCAUUUCUAACAGAUCUGAAAAAGCAUUUAGGUGUGUGACAGAUGAUUAGAUUUAUUUGAAUUGGUAACACGAUGUAUAAUAUUAAUCUUAAGUGUUGGGUGGUUAUAAUCUUUUCAUUUUCAGGGUGGUGUUGAUGCUGAGUGGUAGAGCAGCUAAAAUCACUCUGAUGUCCAUUUAUGCUUUAGGCGUGCUUGAUGUCCUUAUCCAGAGAUAUAAGUGUAACACUGAGACGAGCUUAAAUCCACACAUCUCCAAGAUGACUAAUUAGUAUGGAACUAAAUGUGCCACAGUCCACAGCACAGACACGUCAGAUAACAAUGAGAGCAGGGAAGAAAAGCUAGAAAAAUACAGACGAGGCGUAGAGAGAAAUUAAAGGGAUUUGAAUGCGGGCCGGCGAGAGUCAGCGGGGAAAAGGUGACAGUGAAUCACCAUUUAUCAUGGAUGUCAAUUAAUGGUCUCUAAGCUUUUUGAAAUUGAAUUCAAUUUCAAUUAACUCAAUUUGAUGCAGAAAAUACAUUUGAAUUAAACGUAGAAAAAGGUUUCCAAUCCAAUUGGAUCUGAGAGUGAACGCGGCCCCUGGUUGGAGAAGCCCAUAUAAUUUAUCCAUGCUGAGGGUUAUUCCUUAAACAGACAUGCAAGCACACACACACACACACACACACACUAUUCCAGUUAUACUGAAGAGCGCUUGCAGUGCUUGAAGGUCACAUUCAAUAAUGAAUUCAGUGGAAUAGUGACAAUUAUACACACAAACUGCUCAGGCACACCUACACACGCGCGAGCACGUGAGUAUGUGCGCACGCACGAGCGCACCCACCCACACAUGCGCGGUUCCCCCGACUCCCUUCACUCCAGUGCAACGAUGAUUGGGUCUCUCCACUGGACUGGCUCCACUCCCGCUCUGCCAUUCCACUCAGCACAGUGAGAAAUCACCUAGUCAGUCUAGGACUAUUACAGAGUAAUUGGCCUUUUAAAGAGGGGCUCCACCAUGUGAAACAGUGUAACUGAGAAUGAUACUCUGCUUGCUCCGUUCCCCCAUUUUGUCCUCCAUUCCCUUACAUUGCUCUCCUGGUCCCGGCUUUCACCUCUCGCUGUACUCUUUUUCUCUUUCCGUGCCGGCUGCGUUGCGAUGUGUCUCUCCUUCCCUCGACACUGUGUUCCUGUUGCACCCACGUCUCCCGCUGACUCCUGUUGACCUGUAAAAGCUGACGGCUGGAGCCGCCUGUGGUACCACUUUCAGCACUGGACAGCUCCUCGGCCGGACAGGCCGGCUUUGUUUUGGAGAGAAGAGCAAGACGAGGCUGCAGAGCAGCGAUUGGGUGAGCGAUGCUUUGCCAAAAGAAGUAGCGAUGAGAGCUGCGUUAAUUAAAUUGUCCUCACCUAAAUAGCCCACCCAAACAAUACGACACUCCCAUAGCUGGAAGCAGGUAGUUUACAAAAGAUGAAUCGUGGCGACAGCACGAGAACUGUGCAGUAUAAACUAGGACAUUUUUAUUUAAACACCCGAUUGGCUUUUAAUCAACAACAUGUACAUGCACAACACAUGUUAGCAGGUUGAUUUCUAGACACAGAUAUGUAAUAGUUGUAGGAGGCAUUGAAUUUAUAGGGGUACCGAAUAAUAUGGACUUUUAUGAAAUGACUGACACAUAUAUUUGAUUUACAAUUACCUAAGAUGGAUGAAACCGCAAAAAACGCUCUUCUGUGAAGCUGGAAAUAUUAAUGAAUAAUUCCUCAAAAAUAGUUACGGUGGGACUAUUUCUAUACAACCACUACAAUUUGACAGCUCUGUAACAUAAACUGGGUCUAGAAGAAGAAUAGUAGUGGUCUCUUUUUAGGAGGUAUAUCGGUAAUACGUUUUGCAAUGAACAAUCUCAAGCUUUCACAUGAAUGAUUUCACCAUGAAGCUGUUGAGUACAGUUUGUUUUGUAGAAAACACAGUCAGGUUUCACUACUUUCACAUUAAAAAUACAAUGAGGAAAGAGCACCGAAUAGCUGAGCAUCUAUGUGUCAUCUGAUAUCUGCUAACAAAGCGGGGUUAAAAUCUCAAAUCCAAUUAAAUAAUUGGCAACUCACACUCUGACUCCAGCCGCUGAGACACAUAUCUUCAUUAAUAUUUAGGUACGCUGUUAUGAACAACAAUUAAUUAUAAGAGGUAUUAGCAUACGAUUUCUGCUGGGGCAUCGCGGGUUAGUGCGUGCGUGUGUGUUCACGGGAAUCUUAAGGGAGGGAGGAAGGAGAAAAGAAAUAAACAGUGGGAACGGGUCAAGCAUCUAACAAACAUCAGUACAUUAACACAGUGUUUGGCUUGGAGAGAGGCAGGGACGUCUGGAGAGAUGAACUACAAACUUCUCAGCACAAAGUUCCUCAUUUAGAAAAAAAAAAAAAAAAAAAGGUGGUAGGAUUUCCAUUUGGAGGUUUGGAGACCCAGAAGCACUCGAGAGGGCAGACCCUGGGUCUGACCCGCGGUACACUGCUGGGGAACACAUUUCCCAGCAGGACCAAGGGCCGUGCACACCUCAAACCCCCCCUCCGCCCCCCACCUGGUAUACACGCUGCAGAGUGGCUGCUCCGCUUGCCAUGUUGUCACGGUGACCCUGACCUGCACAUGUAACGGAUGGCUGUAGAAUGUGAUGUGGCGUUGUGGAGUCGAAUUGAGGUUGCACAACUGAGAGGUCCGAGGUGUGUCAAGCGAUCCCAUGUGGGCUGCCAUAUACGCUGUGUUGAAUGUUGGUUGUUAAGACGGGACGGGCCGCGCAGGGCCGGAUGGAAAAAUGGGAUCGGCGUGAACUUUUUGGGGGGGAGAGACACUAGCAGGUGCUUCUACAUCCAAAAGAGGGGCCAUAUACACACAUAGGACAUGAUACCAAGGAUAGACAGUAACGGGUUGUAGCAAGGUCAAGAGCUUUCAGUGCAAGUGUACAGAUGGACAGACGGUUAAGCCCCCCCCCCCCCCACCCUCCUCCUCCCUUAAACCUCUCUGCCCCUCCCCUCCCAACACACACUCCCCUAUUCAUUUGUCUCUUGCUAAUCUACCGUCACUCUCCGUCACAAUGAGUAGAAGGGGAAGCUUUGGACGAGGACAGCUACCCCUCAGCAAAAAAAAAAACACGUUCAUGCUUCCAGCCAGAGACGAAGACAUAGGAAGAGGAGAAAGCGAGGUCCACUUCUCUGAACCAGAGAGCGAGAGAUAGAAGAAAGCGCAAGAGAGCAGUAAUACGUUUUCAUCUGAAAUAUUAAAGCCACUGCAUUAAUCUGUCUUCCCUCUCCCUGGGGUGCUGGUGAAGGCUCCCGCUGUCCUAGAGUUGCCUGGAAAAAGGACAGAGGAUGGCCACCUCACCUCCUCCUCCUCCUGCCAGCGCCGGCUCUCCACCUCUCCGCUCAUAAUGGCCAUUAAAGUGUUUGUGUGGGAGUGGGCCGUGUGCUGAAGGUUUUCUGAAAUGGCCGCUAUCGGCUGUGAGGACUGUGCGGACGAGCUCAAAAAAACAAGGGAAAAUGCCUCAAUUAUCUUUUAUUUUUCCUCCAUAUUUUCAAAGCAUUAAGGAAUAAUUAAUAGUGUAUACAUCUUUAGGACAAAAAUGAAAUGAACAGACAGCCGUUUUGAUGAGUCAUCUGUAGUCAUUUGUCAUAUUAAAUACGUUUUAUAUUAUUAAGCAGUAGUUGCAGUAGUAUUGGUCGGUAGACAUUCAUAGGGAGUUUGACAUUUUAAAAUGUUUUGAAAGCCAUAAUGGAUACUAUUUUCUUAUAAUUCACAACUAUUUUUUGAGAAAAUAACAGUUAAUUUCACUCUUUUCCUUUUGAAAAAUGGACUCAGCCCAUGUGACAUGGCCAAGUGCACUGAUUAAUACAUCAGUUUUAUUCAACCUACACUGCUACCAGCGCAGUGGAAAAGUUAACAUUCUUCUUAAUAGAUUUAAUUAAUAGACUGAUGCUAAUGAUUGAUCUCCUCGGCCGGAUGUCCAUCAAAGCCUCCGUGCUUUUAACACCUCCCCUAAAUGUUCUGCUGGCACCUCACGGAGGUGGUGGCACCCAUCGAGCCUUUAUCUAGGCCACCACAUCCACAGCUGGACCCAUCUGGCCUUGCUAUCUCCUCUCUCUGUCUCUGCACAUACACACAUGUCAUCCAUCAAGUACACAGACACGCACACACACACACACGCACACACACCAGCUGUUAUGGAUUACAGUCGACCAAGAAAGGGUGUGUUUUCUGACUCAUGCCCAGUGUUUGAUGGAGCUGCCCUGGAUGUGACCUAACACAAAAGCACUGGUUUGAUUAUUAGUACAUACUGUAAUAAUGCAUGCUUUAGAUGUACACUAGUGAUGAAUGAGAUGGGACGUCUAGAUUGAACCCACAGGCUUUGGUCGCAUGGUAAAUAAAGGAUAUCACGAUGUUCUGAGGGACUCCAUCUCUUGUGGUCCAAUAUCCGACAACGUAAAACUCUCUCAAGCCCUCUGACGAAGAGGAACGCAUGAAUAAUGCCCUGUGCUUGGUUUCCUUUUCUGAUCAAUCCCUGACGUGCGGCCACUCUGAGAAAUAUGGGUUCGAAUCAAGCUGUUUUUUCUAUCUAAACCUCCCUCCACGCAUCGAUCUUACAUACCGGCCCUUCAAUCCACCCACUAGCCGAGCUCGGCUUAAUCUUCCUUAUUCUCUGUGGCGCCUGAGCGCAGGGCCUCCUCUGGUCUCGGAGUCGUUACCGAUAUUCGCCCAGAUCAUCUGGUUAAGCCAAGGGAUCGGUCUUAAACCUCCUGAACUGUUGGCAGACUCACACGGGCCGCCCUGAUAAUCUUAAACAAGUUGAAUAAUUAGGAGCUAAACUCUGGAUUGAUUAUGUCAGGGCUCUACAAGCGGGAUGUCAAUAGCCAAUGAAGGAGACGAGCCCGCGUAGCUGAUUGUGUUUCCAGGCAACAGUAACACUUUUAGCUCUAGGCUAACGUUAGCUAGCAUCGGAGUCAUCAGAAAUGGCCGGUGAUGUCUCCCCAUUUCUUUUCUGAAGAAUAGACGCCACAUAGACCGCUUCGUCCAACAGCAUUUCCCAUCCAGACACGUUUCGCAUCUUUUUCUUUAUUUCCUCGCAAAGCUUUACUGCAGCGAGGUGCCGCACGACGUCGGCCUCCGAAUUUGUUUGCGUCCGCUUCCCCGCGAGCUCCGGAGAGGUGGCGCGUUGCUACCUGUGGUGCAAUAGUCUCAUUAAUAUUCCUCCGCGUGCAACGCGUCAUCAUUGUCAAAUCUCGUAGUGUGUGCGAGCCCGAGAUUAGAGAGAAGCGCGUCAGUGAAGUUUCUACUCAUUUUGCGUGACGCAAGCCGGUAGUCUGAGCCCGCGGCUUUACCCGACACACACACACACACACACACACUCCAAAAACUGUAAAACAGACAAGUUAAGAGCAACAACAUGCAAAAUAGUCACUUGUGUACCGAGCUGAGGCUUUAAAGCUUAAGCCCCGACGAGGGGGGAGCGGGCGAGACCGUCCGACGGAGGCAGCAGCCCCAAUUGCCUCCACGCGGCCGUAAAAUAAAAUAUUCCAUCAUAUCCCUGAAGCAUCCCCGUCUCCAGCUGGGAUCAAAGAGCACACUCUGACGCCGGCAGUGUCUCGCCUUGCGCCGCGACCAAACCCUUCACUCCGCUCCAUUAAUAGCAAUCACGGAAAAAUAGAUGUAAUGGUUCUUCAGAGUCCUCGAGAAUAGGUACAUGACGCGAGGAGACGCAAGCGGCACUGCGGUAAGCGGGGCGGGGGGGGGGUGGGGGGGGGUAAGUGGGGGGUGCCAUUUGUAUGUUUCUGCUGAACGCUCGGCAUUCAUAAGAUCAGAGCGGAUUCGUCGUCUCGCUGUGGUUGUACUCCUUUCAGGCUGUCUGUGACAGGUGUUUUAUAGGGAGGAGUGCUGUUGUUGUGAAUGUCCUAUCAAUGAUUCAAUGCAGCACAUCAGAUGGAAGGGGGAGCGACGGAGAGAGAGAUGUCUCCUGCCUGGAUGUUCGGAGGGGGGGGGGGUUACAAUAUAUAAUUCACUGGGUUGUCUGACAGGCCGGGUGUGAAUGUGAUUUUUUUUUCUUGUGGUGGAACUCAGUGCUUCUAAACCGUAGAUCUCAUUGAUCACUUUGCGCAUUAUAACACACGGGCGAAAGUCUUUUUAUGAUCUCACUCUUUGAUCCACGCACCUCGCUAAAGAGAGGCGGUGCCGCCCGCGCGCGUCACGCUCAUUUUCCAGGCAACGCUAAUUGACAGGCGGCUCCUCCAUCUAGUUUGCGGCACAGCAGGGGGGCCGCACGUGCGGCGACUUGCCGCUCGCGCCGGCUCAAUCAACCCGGCUGCGAGCGAUGGAAUUGUCCACGAGUGCCACGAGCGAUGGAAAACAUCUGGUACACUUCAAAUCGGGAGGCCACAACAAUUUUCGGCACUGGCAGGCGUUAACACUGUCAACACACUGUUCCCGUCGGCGUUGCCAACACACACAUUCGCGAUCCACAAGUGGCAACUGUGAAAAAAAUCCAGAGGGCCAAUUCAAUUGCGUAUGUGGUUGUGUUAAUCGGCGAGCUUGGGCAACAAAUCCAUAGAACAGAGCCAUGUAAGAUGGGAGAUUAGGGGAAUAUGAAACGCACUCUGGAGUGAGGGCUUUUGUCUUGUUAUCUUCAGGAAUGAGUUGACAUUAUCCCCAUGGAUAAAGUUUUACCGUGCAUGGAUUACACACAUGAGACAAGCUGCACGCACCCCCCGGGCCAGAUAACACGAGAGGACCUCAGUCGACCCCCCCCCCGUCCCCACCGCUCCCGCUACCCAUCAAUGCCACGAUCCGCUUCGCCUCGGCCCAACGGCGUCUGCUGUAACUUUUUUUCUACUCCUCCUUAAGAAUAUCUGGGAUCAACGAUCAACAAUCCAUAUCGCUAUAUUGAUGUUUUCAUAGUGAGAAACAUGUUUUAUCCUCACACCCUACAGAUCAUAAUAAUGAGACAUAAAGCAGUUGAACGCUCCCAGACUUGUUGAAUGGUUCAAAGGCAGCUGAAAAAGCCAAAUUCGCUGCCUCCACUGGGAAUCGUACUCCACAGUUUGGGAGCAAAAGAGUUCAAAAGAAGCUGCAAAGCUUCUCGACAACUUCACAAGAUCAGCAGCAAUCACAGCAGGGAAAGGCGGCGGACAAAACAAACAUCCACAGAGCGUGCCGCUCCGCGGCUUCUUAAAGCUUUAUGUAAAAGUACCUUCAGAUUAGCUCCUAAUGACACGUGGAGCCAGUGUUCUUCCACACGCGCUGCUGGAAUAGCUCUUUGCACCACUUGAAUGACUGCAAAGGAAUCAUCUAAAUUUAAAAAGGAGUUACUUUGGACGUUACUAAGAAGGUUAGCUGUUCAUAAAGAAUCGAAACAACAGCAGUUUUGAUCGUUUUCAGGAUAUUAUCAGCGCCAUUGUUAAAGUCAUGCCUAAACGAUCUACUGGGAAGACGGCACAUGGGGGGGGGGGUUCUGAGGAAGGAAAACCUUCUGUUUCUCCGUCAUUUAAUAGGAACAGGAAAAGACUCGUGUGAACAGACUCGAUUGUGUGAGGCAGAGUGGUCAUGGAAGGCAAUGACUUAGCAUGUCACUUCUAUGCGCCGUUACGGUGCAGAAUGAUAUGGAGAACUCAAGGAUUUCAGAGGCCUAAAUGAAAACCAUCACAACUCAUAAUAAUGAAACAGUCUUGAUCCCUUAUCAUAAUUUCCUCAGGAAUUCUUGCAGGGAGUGGUGACAGUAGGUAAUACGCCAUGAUUAACGAUACUCUUAUCUCUUCCGGUGCACUCCUAAGAUAAGGGCUCUCAUUGGAUGCUAUUCAUAUAUCCAGCAAUGUGACCGACAAUGGAAGAACCAAAAAAAACAAAAGAAAAAGGACACACUAAGUAUAGUGGCAUGAAAGAUGGCGGGAGGGAGGUAAGAGUGAGAGAGAGCGGUGACCUCCAUCUCCACCUCCACCUCCACCUCGGCACGCCACAACAAGCCUCUCCAUCUCGCCCGGGCACAUUUCUCUGUCAGCGAAGGGUGGCGGCGGGCCACGGCGUCGCCGUGAAUCAAGCCGGCUGCUCAGAGACCUUCCGCCAAUCCGUCCGGUUCCCGCGGGCUCGUCGUUGGGGCCCCCGGGCGCUGACGCGGUCGAACGGGCGGCGGUUGAGCAAUCGCCUCCCGCGCGCGCCGGGGCGCCUUCUCUCGGUUUGAGAGCUGUUGGGGUUGUUUCCAGGCCAGAGAGUGACUCAGUUAUUUUUUUUAAAAGGGAAUAAAAUGUCACAUUAACGCAAACGUAUACCGUUUAAUAAUCUUACACACUGUGCUCUUCGUUCAUAACCCUUUCGAGGGCUUUUAGCAUGUUGCUUUAAAAGGGUACGUGGGUCAUAAAUAUGUUUUUAGAACAGUUAAUGAAGGCUUUAUGUGGCCACUGCAGCUGUAAUCCCUCCAAAAUGGGACAAUAUAUCCAGCAGAAUAGCAAAGGACUCAAGCUCCAUAAUACCUAAAUCACACAUGGCACUGCAGUUGCGUUGCCCCUUGCAAUCUCUUGAAAAAAAAAAAAAAGCUCCGCUAUUCAUCGCAUCCUACCAAAAACCGCCUCCCUCUCCCUACACGACACCCCCGACUCUCAUCCUUCUCCUUUUUCCGCAUUAUUCGUUUCGCAAAUUGAUAAUGGAACCAGAGACCCCGCAGGGUCCGUAAUUCAAUAUAGGGAUCUAACGGUCUCAGAUCAGAUAUGAUGGACUGUAAUCCUCUCUGCGCUGCCACAGCCACGUGCACUUCCAUAUCUCAGCGCAGCUUAAAGCGACCGGAAAGUCAGCGCCUUCUCGACGCGUGAACGAACGAGCGCAACGGGCGAAGGAGUGGGGGCGACCGAACUAACGAGUGGUGUUUUUCUUGUCCGUUUUCUUUUUUUUUUUUUUUACAAGAAGGCCAAAAGUAUCCAUUUCUAAGACACCAAAUCGCACCGUGGCAGACUUGUGGCUAAGUGGGCAUGACAGCAUGUGAUUAAAGAGAGUGAAUUAGCGAGUGCUCCCCGUGCGCGCACACAUCACCAAACACGGUCUUAUUCUCUACUCUCCAUUUCUUCCAAAUCGGAGAAGAUGUAAAGUGGGGGGAGUCGUGCUCGGAGACAGUAAUGAUCCACCUGUUUACUUUCAAUUAGUAUUAUUUCUUCCCUUAGGCGAAGAACACCUUUAUUUAUUCUCGGGAACAUUAGUAGCUCUGCAGGGGAGGCUUCUGGAUGCAUUUAUGAAACGAGAUGAGCAGAGAGGAGCCAAAAGCUGCACGCACGCCUUUAUUGAUUUUUUUAAUAUGAGGGACAAUGAGGAUUUGGUGCCUUUGCCUCGCGUGCAGGUCAACCGUCUCUGCACACUGACUGCAGCGAUCAGUCGGCCACUGGCCGGUAGUCAGAUGGCCGGGGCGACCGUCCGAUCGCUCUCACGUAUCCGACGCCGCGGCUUCCCGCUGCUCCGCACAGCGGCGGGCGGUGGAUUUCCAGUGGAGUCCUUCGGUCAUUAGACCACUCAGCCCGGGACAUCUCCAGCACUUUGUGAAAGAGAAGCUUCAUCAAUUAUUCACACUUCCGGGAACGCACAUGUUUCUCUUCCCAUACAUUAAUAUUUCAGCCCCGCCCCUCCCUCUUCAGAAGGUCUGCCACCUCCAGGUGGACAUUUUGUCUAAAUAAAUCACGGUGACACGAGGAAGCACUAAGAUGGCCUGAGUCAGGCUUCCCUGUGAGAGGCCCCCCCACCCCCUACCCUGACCGCUGGGAGCCAAAUGUCACUCAAAAGCUUCAGAUAAACAUAACAAGAUGUCUAUUAGAGCAGCAACACGACGACAGUGUCCCCCUACGCCCGCACGUGCAUGCAGUACGUGGCCAUUCUUCUCGUGGAUACGUCCAAUAGGAGAGACGGUCGCUGCGUGUUCCUUCUUAGUAUCUUUAAGGUCGUGCGGGUGCUUGUGCUUGUUUACUGAGCCAAUUUCCCCCGCAGAGCUCUUGGUCCCAAGCCUUUCACCCCCCCUCCCCUCUCACUCCCCCAACCGCCCCUGAGGUGCUUCAAGUUUUCAAAAGGUUACGGUUAGGACCGUGGUUAAGGGUCUACAAGAGGCCGGAAUAUGAACACAGCCCGAGAGUGUUGCUGAAGAGGUUCAACUUGAGGAUCCGAUGUCCUUUGUGCGAAGGGAGGAUUACAUGCAGCAACAAGCCAAGGCUGCACUCUUGGAUGUUGUACAGUAGACUCCCCACGGGACCGCUGAGCCAACGUGACACAUUUUGGGAGCAGUUUCAGCCUUGUGUGUCCAAACCUUUUUGCUCAGGUUUACCUGUCAGCGGCAGCUGCUUUCACUUCAGCCUGCCGCCAAAGAAAGACGACUACAGCAGUAGUUCAUUCUUUUCAAUGAAUCGAUGCAUUGUUUUGUAUACAAAAAGAAGAAAAAAAUCCAAGAUCCCAAUGACGUACGACAUGAACACAAAACCACUGAAAUUAAACUUAUGAAAAUAAUGUGUUAUUUGCUCUUCCCAAAAAGGGAAGUUAUGGUGCCGUAAAAUGUAUAUCUAGUAUAAUGUGAUACGCUACAUAACGCACUGAUUUACCGAGCUCGCUGUCUCCGUUCUGUAGGAUCACAGAGACGUUGCGGUGGGACAGGUGUGAAGUGAAAGCCUUGGAAACUCAAAUAUGUAUAAUACCUUGGGGGCAAUCUGCAUGCAAAUGAGGUGGAUAAUAAUAGAAGUAGUAGUAGUAGCAGAUAUAUAAUAAAUGUCUGGCCAAGCCUCAUUCACUCAGCUGUGAUGAGCCUUUACCUUGCAGCUGGAUCUCUACAUCUGGAGCACACUCUCAGGCUUUUUGACAGUCUUCACCCCUAAGAAGUCCGUCUCUUGUAUUAAACACGCCCCAUUUCGGCCCCUUCUGCUCUCUCUCUCUCUCUCUCUUUCCCCCUCAUUGAUUCUGUGAGGUUCAGCGGAUGGAGCGCGCCACUUGCGAUGGGAAGGCCGUGGGAUCAAUUCCAACCAAAUUUCAAGCAUUCGCCCAGCUGUCACUCUGGGAUAAUUUGUCUGAAUGCUCACCCCUUCUGUACACACUGAUGUAUUCAGCUUUGUAAUUGGUGCCCAUCAGUGUCAAGUGUCUCUGCGAGCUCAAUAUUCAGGACCAACACUGCAGAAUGCCGCAGUGCAAUGAGCAUAGUGUGUACACACAUACACACUCACACACACACACUGAUGAAUCCCAGAGAUGCCAACAGAAUACAGCAAGGAUAGUUGUUUAUUUUUUGUACUAUUGCUGGUAUGAAAAUAUUCAUGGAGACACUUUGCUGAAUUCCCGAUUCGAUUUAAAUAAGUAAGCCACUUAAAUGCGGUUUCGGCGUAGCGUGGUCGGUAGUUGGGCCGGACAGGUGUUUCCCAAGAGCGAAAUAAUCCUCAUCAUUGGGACUGACAGCUCCCAGCACCAACUCAACACUGCUAUUACUCAAUGUGUGUUCAUCAAACCGGUGGCAUCGAGCUGGUCGUCCCGAGGCUCACGAGGAGACGGAAAAAAGAAAAAAGCAGUCGGGGGGUCAAAUUGGUCUCUAAUAAGUGUGCGCCUGAAAUGAUAAAAAGCCGAGGCACAAGAGCUCGCUUUCCGACCAGGAAGACGUUUGUAAAUCGGUGCAGCUGCGGACACACACACACACACACACACACACACACGCUGCGCCGAAGCCGCCCUGCUCGGGCCGGCCUGGGCGAACAAGCGGAGCGUGUCUCAGGAGAGACAGAGGGGCCUCAGAGGCAGCCCGGAAAAUCUGAGCCUGACCUCUCUGGAGAGGGAGCAAGAGAGGCAAACUGGAUUUUUAGAUAUUUCUCUCUCUCUCUCUCUCUUUUUUUUAAUCCCUGCCUUACACGCCUCACUGGUCCUCCUGCGGUACGACGUGGGGGCAUAAUGUAAAGUCAGGGGGAAAAAAAAAACACAAAAACAACAACAACAGGGGCUUGCGUGUCAGGAGAGAACAUCCACGUCUGCUCCUAUUCACCGUGACACGAGUGAAAACGGGACACAGUAUCCCACUGGCUUUUGACCCACAGUUGUAUGUAGGACAGCAUCUUAUUCAGAGCCAAAUGCCAUUUUGUUCCUCGCCCCUCUCUGUUCGAGAGGGAGUCUAUCGUCCCCCCCUCGCCACCCGUGACGCAUCUGCUCGACGUCAAUUUCGAAUCUGCGUUUCUCCGUUGGUGGAAAGAAGUCGC
Long non-coding RNA from Gasterosteus aculeatus aculeatus (three-spined stickleback), 17103 nucleotides. The record is from Ensembl. Lineage: Eukaryota; Metazoa; Chordata; Actinopteri; Perciformes; Gasterosteidae.